GUCAAAUCAAGUCUUAGUGCUGGGCAAGAUACUCCGCAGAUAUAGCUAGCUAAUCUAACAGGAAGCAACUAAAAUAAAAAUAAAAAAGCAGGCUUUAAAAUGGUUUGAAUAAUAAUAAAAAACAUUUGAAUAAAAUCUAAUUAAACAAUUAUCGUCUGUAUAUACUGUAGUGCACUGUGUCUACAGUAAACCGCCUGAAGUGGGCGCAAUUUGGAGUUAUAUACAAAUAUGCCCAGUAGGUGUCGCCCUUUAUCCGUUUUAUUUAUACACCUAACCUACAAUCACACACGCGAAGAAAUGGACACUGAGGAAACGGCUUUAAAUGAUACAAUUUCAAAGAUAACAAAAUAUUAGAUCAAGUCAGACCUUUUAAAAAAUAUACUUUGUCUUAGAACUAACUUCACUUCUCUGAGAAAUGUUUGCGAAUCUCCUUUAAGGAGAAUGAAAGUUACUUCAAGUGCCCGAACACGGUUGAACUGCACCACAACCAACUGAUGGUAAGUUAACUAAACUCUGUUCAUUCAUAUUGAGAAAAACUGUAAGAAAUUACACAGCUUUAAAAUCUAGUGUGAUGCACUAAAAAGUUAACUAAAUAAAGACAGGCUGCAAACAAGACCCAUUGCUUUAUAAUACUCUUUAUUUAGGUAAUCCACACAGUACAGUGUAAUCUACACAGUACAAUUUCUCCAUUCACUGUAAAAUAAGAAACAUUUUUAAAAUAUUCAUCUUGAAAAUCUUACACCUAUCUCAUUCACUGUAAACAAAUUAUUGUAUGAAUCAGAGCAACUUGUUCAUUUAAAGAGUAGACUACUGAGUCACACCUGUCACCUCAGAAUAUUCCCGCUUUGUUCCAAGUAUGCAGACGCCUUGAAUUAUUGAUUAUGGGAUCAGGAAAUAAACAGUGAUAUGCUAUGUUUAUGUAUUUUUGUCCAGGAAAACAUUGCAUUUCACUUAGUAUAUAAUUAAUAAAGC
This is a long non-coding RNA of Megalobrama amblycephala (Wuchang bream), 972 nucleotides long. RefSeq lists it as uncharacterized. The transcript has 2 exons. The record is from RefSeq and is a predicted model, not a curated record. NCBI's taxonomy places the organism in Eukaryota, Metazoa, Chordata, Actinopteri, Cypriniformes, Xenocyprididae.